UAGAUUAGAAUUAAUCUUAAUUAGCUAAUUGACCUCACUGGACCCACAUGUCAGUGACUUAUUAGAUUAUUUUGUUUUAUUUUUAUUAUUCCAGAUUAUACAGAGGCUGGCCCCACACGUCAGUGGCUCAGGCCAGCUGAGAUCCACGGGCGGCGAGGUCGUGCUCGCCGGCGGGGAGCCUCCGGCGACCACCAGUACGGUGGAGGGCAUCGGAAACUCGCCUCCGACGACCAAACUCACGGCAGUGACCACGGGGAGAACGGCCACUCGACGGCGCGCACGAUGGGACAAACCCCACGGUCUGGGGUGGCCGGAAUCGACGCCGAUGACGAGCUUGGCGGCGACCAAGUUCGGCCAUCGUCGAAGCCAUCGAUCACAGGGUCAAAACGCGUGGGACUGGGCUCCUAAAGCAUCUACGUGAUGUCCAGAGGCUGCUGGUGAACUCAGACGGACCAACCCUUCACCGGAGGGCUACCGGUGACGAGCUUCAGCGGCCGUCCUUGUCGGGCUCCGGUGGAACUAGGCCUAGAGGAGGGGAUCGACGGGGAAAUCUUAGGGGAAAGUUGCGCAAGCUCACGAGGAGUGCAGAGGAGGGCUUAGACGGCUCGGCAAAGCACUGAGGGCGACGAAUCAAGCAGAGCUCGCCGGCGGCCGAAGGUUGAAGACGACGGUGUCGUGGGCGUUGCAGGGCUCGGAGAGGCUUCGGCUUCUGCAGGGAGGACCAGCUCGUCGAGCCGGAUCUAAUGGCACACUCGGGAGGAAGAUCCUAUGGCUAGGGGCACGGGCAGCUCGAGCUCGAGCUCUUGUCAAUGGAGGCAGUGGGGAUCGGGAGAACCGAGAGGAGAGGGGGGAGAAGGAGCACGGGAAUGGAUAGCUACGUGCUCGGGGAGGUUAUCCCCGUGCUUGCCAGCGCGAAGCGGCGGCCAGGCAGGCAGAGAGCUGCGUGGAGGCGCGCGGCGACGCGGCGGCCACCUCCUGCUCCUACUGGCGAGGAGGAAGACGACAGCGCUACUGGGCCUGGGCUGAGGUGAGCGACAGGUAGUUCCUUCCUCUAUUUUUUCUGUUUUGUUUCUGUUUUCCUAACUAAUUGAUUUACUAUUUAUUUCAGCUCCAAAAUAGUUUGUAAAACCUAUUUUGAACACCCCAGAAUAUUUGUUGGAAUAUUUCCAACCAUUCCUGGAGUUUUCAACAUUUUUGAAAACUUAAAGUUUUUGAACUCAAAUUUUAAACAUGAAACCAGUAGCUUUUUGCAUUUAUUUAAAAUGCCAAAAGUGUUAUGGAAAUGGUUUUCUUCAUUGCUUAUUUACUUCCAUGAUUUAUCAGAAAACUUGAACUUUUCUUGAGGCCAUUUUGAGUUCAUUGAUUUGAACAGGUUUAUAAUUCCUUUGAAUUUGAGAAGUGGCUAGGGUUUUUGAGUGUUCCUUCACCACUUUCUUGUUCUUGUUGCAAUUCUCUUGGAUGCAAUGCAAAGAAGAUAUGAGCACAAUGCUAAACCUUGGUUAGGGUUCCAGGGAUGUGACAUCUCACCCCCACUCAAAAGAAUCUCGUCCCGAGAUUUAGAAGUCGUCGGGAAUAACACAAGAUACUCAAGUCGGAGACGAUCCUCUCUUUCCCAAGUUGCGUACUUCUAAGAAUGAUUUGACCAUUGAACUUUAAGAAACUGGAGGUUUCGACGUCGAGUGGUACGCUCAGCUUGAUCAAGAAUACGCAUGGGGUAUUCUCGGUAUGAAAGGUUAUCUUGGAGAUCAAGCGUUUCGUGGUCCACUUCACGGAUAGGAUCCGAAAAGCAACGCCUGAGUUGCGAGACGUGGAAGACAUCAUGAACCUUAGAAAGAUGCGGAGGAAGUUCCAACUGGUAGGCAACUUCUCCUCGUUUGGAAAGAAUGCGAAAAGGACCAAUGUAACGAGGAGCCAACUUGCCCUGGAUACCGAAUCGAUGGGUACCCUUCAAAGGUGUAACCCGAAGGUAAGCCUUCUCGUCAACUUCAAAGGUCACAGCCUUAUGAUGACGAUCAUAUUCGCUCUUUCGACGAGACUGGGUUGUUUUCAACUUUUCACGAAUAAUGCGAACCUGCUCUUAUGCAUCAUGGAUCAUAUCCGGGCCAAAGAGUUGCCUGUCUCCGGUUUCUGACCAAUUAAGAGGUGUUCGACAUCUUCGUCCAUAGAGAACUUCAAAAGGAGCUUUGCCCAAGCUUGAUUGAUAACUAUUGUUAUAAGCGAAUUCGGCGAAUGGAAGGCACUUCUCCCAAUUCAUACCGAACGAUAUAACACAAGCUCGGAGCGUAUCUUCUAGGAUUUGAUUCACUCUUUCUACUUGACCAGUUGAUUGGGGAUGGAAAGCAGUGCUAAAAGAUAAGUGAGUCCCCAUGGCAUUCUGAAAACUCUCCCAGAAGAGAGAAGUAAAGAUACUCCCACGGUCCGAGUUAAUCUCCAAGGGAACACCAUGAAGAGACACUAUUCGAGAGAUAUAUAACUCCGCUAGCUGGCUAGCUGUUAUACUCUCACGAACGAGAAGAAAAUGAGCCACUUUGGAGAGUCGGUCAAUGACCACAAAGAUAGCAAUAUUUCCUUCCUUGGUCUUGGGAAAUCCGGUGAUGAAAUCCAUACUAACUUUAUCCCAUUUCUAUUCAAGAAUAGCUAAAGGUUGAAGGGUUCCAGCAGGCCUUUGAUGUUCUGCCUUAACUCGAUGACAAACGUUGCAGUUAGCAACGAACUCAGCAAUUUCUCUCUUCAUCCUAGUCCACCAGAACCUCUGGCGUAGGUCCUGAUACAUCUUAGUACUCCCGGCAUGAAUGGUGAAAGGAGAAUCAUGAGCCUCCUUAAGGAUCAAUUGCCGCUGACGUUUGCUCUUGGGAACCACUAAACGGUUCUGAAAGAACACAACACCUUUCUCAUUGAUGUAGAAAUCCCUAGCGUUACCGCUAGCAAUAUUCUCCUUGAUCCGGGAUAUACCCUUAUCAUAAGCCCACACGGCUAUGAUUAGAUCCCUAAGAGUAGGCUUCGCCACCAGGGUAGAAAGGAAUCCUUGAGGAACAAUAUGAAGAUUCAACUUCCGAAAUUCCUCAUAGAGAUGUGGUUGACCUUGUUGUAGCAUCAAAUUGUUACAAUAAGAUUUACGACUUAGUGCAUCAGCCAUAACAUUGGCCUUCCCCGGGGUGUAAGUUAUCCCUAAGUCGUAAUCCGAGAUCAACUCAACCCACUGUCUUUGCCUGAGAUUCAAAUCCGGCUGGGUGAAGAUAUAUUUCAGACUUUGGUGAUCGGUGAAUAUUUCGCAACGAUUACCCAGAAGGAAAUGUCGCCAGGUUUUUAGUGCAUGGACCACAGCUGCAAGCUCAAGGUCAUGUGUGGGAUAAUUAUCCUCAUGUGGACGCAACUGUCGAGAUGCGUAUGGGAUCACCUGAUGAUCUUGCAUGAGAAUGCAACCUAAUCCUUGUCGCGAGGCGUCCCAAUAGAUAACAAAGUCCUUAGAAAAAUCUGGUGGUAGCAACACAGGUGCGGAAGUCAGGCGUCUCUUCUGUUCCUGAAAACUAUGCUCACACUGUGGUGUCCACUCGAACUUUUUAUCCUUCUUGAGGAGUUCAGUUAGAGGCUUUGCAACCUUGGAGAAAUUCUUGACAAAGCGGCGACAAUAGCUCGCUAGACCAACAGAAACUCCUAACUUGCUUAACCGAUUCAGGUUGAGUCCAAUCAAGGACAACUUGAACUCUCUCGGGAUUGACAGCGAUACCCUUACCAGAGAUUACGUGACCUAGAUAGGUCACUUCUGGUAACCAAAAUUCACAUUUUGAAAACUUGGCAUAAAGGCGAUGCCCUCGAAGUUUCAUCAAUACCAGCCUUAGAUGCUCGGCAUGUUCUUGUUCGUUCUUUGAGUAGAUGAGAAUAUCAUCAAGGUAUACCAUGACGAAUUUAUCCAAAAACUCCAUGAAGAUUGAAUUCAUCAGACGAGAGAAGGUGGCUGGGGCAUUGGUUAAACCGAAGGACAUGACGGUGUACUCGUAUUGGCCAUAACAAGUAACAAAAGUCGUUUUUGGAAUGUCCGCGUUCUUGAUCUUGAUUUGGUGGUAUCGCAACCUCAAAUCCAUUUUGGAGAAGACUGAGGAUCCAGCGAGCUGAUCGUACAGAUCGUUGAUCCUGGGGAGCGGAUACUUGUUCUUUACGGUGUCCAGAUUAACUAGUCGGUAAUCUACAACCAUCCGAUCCGUUCUGUCUUUCUUGUUGACGAAUAGGACUUGGCAAGCCCAAGGAGAAGAGCUAGGACGAAUGAAACCUUUAUUCAAGGCCUCAUCUAGUUGCUUCUUAAGUUCGGCUAGCUCCAGGGGUGCCAUGUUAUAUGGUCUUCUGGCUAUUGGGACAGUUCCGGGAACAAGAUCUGUCACAAACUCUACAUCUCUGUCAGGUGGAAUUCCUGGCAGUUCCUCUGGAAAAACAUCCGGAAGUCACGGACUACCGGAAUGUCUUCAAGUUCCGGAAGAGGGUUGGCAUUUAGGGAAUAGAGUUGGCAUUUGGCAACUCGAGUAGAGACAUUGACUAUCUCACCCGAGGGAUGGGUAAGCUGAACAUUUCUAGAAUGGGUAUCAAUCUUGGCAUAGUGAGCUGACAUCCAGUCCAUACCCAAGAUGAUAAUAAUAUCCAAAGAUUGCAAGGCUAUCAAUGAAGCUAGAAAAACUAGCCUGUCUACUAGAAUUUCAUUGUCAUAGGUUAUCCUAGAGGUUUGCCAUUUACUACCAGGAGUUUGGACAACCAAUGGAAUUGGCAUAUCACAAAAAGACAUGUUAUGCAACUGUGCAUAACUUUCUGAAAUGAAGGAAUGAGAAGACCCAGUGUCAAAGAGAACAGACACUGGGUGAUGAUUAACAAGAAGCAUACCCAGUAUGACGUCGGGAUCCUCUGCAGCUUCUUUUGCUGAGACAUAGUUCACUCGGCCACGUGCAGGAGUUGGCUUCACAUAGUAAGCUUUGCCUGACUUGCCUUGCCCGACGGACUUUCCAGGUUGCUUGGCACCCACAUUUUGAGGACACUCACAGGAAUAGUGCCCUGGUUCUCCACACUUGUAGCAUAUCACUUGGUUGGCACGUGGUGCAGCAUUGCUAGCUGGACCACCAUAAGUUUUUGCUGGAGGGUUGGUCUGAUUCGUCUGAGGCGCCACAUAGGAUGGCCUCGGAGUGUAUCUUGGCGGCACAGAACUGUUCGGAACCCACAGCCUGCGUUUUGGAAACGCGGAACCAGAUGACGAGCCAAAGUCACGGGAGUGCUUCCUUGUGGCUUCAAAGUCAGUAUGACCAGUCUCGGCACUGAUCGCCUUGUUGACCAGGGCUUGAAAGCUUGCACACUCGUGGAGGCGCAGAUCACGAUGAAGCUCAGGGCUCAGACCCUUACGGAAUCUUGCUUGCUUCUUGGCGUCAGUAGACACCUCCUCUGUUGCAUAGCGGGUGAGGUUUCCGAACUCGCGGCUAUAGGCAUCCACGGUCAACUUGCCCUGAGUGAAAGCACAUAACUCCUCUUGCUUUCUGUCCAUCAGGCCCUCUGGAAUAUGGUGCAGACGGAAGGCUGCACUGAAGUCCGCCCAUGUGGCUGCUGGUUCAGCAGGAUGCAUAGCUUCAAAGUUCUCCCACCACAGAUUGGCGGGUCCUUCCAGGAAAUACGCCGCAAAGGUCACCUUGUCGGCCUCAGAAACAUUCGCAGAGCGAAUCUUGCGUGAGAUGCUGCACAGCGAGUCAUCAGCGUCGAGGGGAUCGACGGAGUGAUGAAAUUUUGGAGGAUUCAGCUUCACAAAGUCGUUGAGGGACACUGCAGCAUUCCUAGGCUGACGAGCCGUAUUCUGCUCAAUACGCUCUAACAGUCGGUUGGUCUCCCUUUUGUUUCUCUCUCCCUCUAGCAUAACUUCCGCCAGAGAGGGGGUGAGGCAGGUCUUCCUGCGACGCUUGACUACCCUCGCCUUGCUCAUGAGCAGGGGCACGGUUCAACCUGGUGAACACCAUCCUGACAAACAAACUCACAGCUUAGACCAAUAUCAUAUCAAUACUAGCUAUGGAUUUAGAAUGUACUAAACACACGGAAUGCGGAAAUGAAUAUCCGAACAACAUGGUAACAAGCAACUGCUAUAUAUACACCAUGGUUCAUACACACCCUUACAUAGUUCAGUACAACCUUACUUGAAGAGCAAACUACUGAAAUUAUGAAACUACUCAUCAGAGGCUUACAAGCUUCCUAUACAUUAUUUAUCUAGGCCUCCGAAAUUCAUUUCACAUCACACGCAUACUUCACAAGUCACGCAGGACUGUGAACGUACGGCUACUACCAUACUAUCCUUCCGCUCACAGCUCAGGCAUCCGCAUAGAACAUCUCAUAGAGAUUACUUCCAUGACCUGGAAGCUCAACCUGCGGAUCAGGAAACACUCUGGCCUGAGAUCCCUGGGGAUCCAUAAGGACACGGAUGUGGCCUUGGUCCCCUGACUGGUGGAAAGAGGGGUCCCCGAAGAGGGGUGACUCCUCCUAUAGCUGGCUAGUCAACGUGGGCCGGAAGAUGGGUCCUAACAGGGUUCAACAUCUCCAUAUCUCCAUACCCUCUCUGGACUACCGGUGCCAGCUGCGUCAAAGCCGUCCACAGACGGGCACGGGUAGCAUAAAGCUCCAUGCGGAGAGCACGAGCAUCCCUGUCUCUGUUCUCUAGCAUCUCAAAAGUGGACUGCAGUAGUGGAUCCUCCAUAGAAGAAUCAAAAUAGACUCCGCCGAGGUAUCCCUCUUCACCAGGCUGAGAGGCCGGAACAUAGCAGAACUCUGAAUUCUACAGCAGUGCAUGUCUCGCCCUCAUAAUGGUCAGGAUUGAAUAGGCAGCAUCUUGUACUGCCAUGUCAACAGUGACUCCCAACCCAUAGGACCAAUGGAUUGGCUCCUCAGCUCUAGGGUAGUCUGGAAAUACCCUAAUAGUGCAGAUAUACUGACUCUGGUUGAAGUCUCGGUACUGUUCCUCCAAUGUGUACUCGGGGUACCAGCGGUAACCGCACACCGACAUCACCCUCACCAACAUGGUCGUAUGACCCGGCACAUCAAUGCACCUGGUCAGACGUACCACCUGUCGAGAAGGAUGGCCAGGCAUCUGAAAUAGAGAGUAAUGCAAAAGCAUUAGAGCUCUGAAUGCAAAAUUGGGCAGCAUAACGGCUGUAAAUGCUCAAAACAAUUUUUGAGACAACCCAAAAAUGGAAUGACGUAACCACUCAACUAUCAAGUUCAAUUCUCUGAUCAUCAAACAUACUUCCUUUUUCCUAGGAAUGAAAGAAACCCAAAUAUCUCUUGACCCGUAGUCCUAUAAUCUACCGAUCAGAAACACGAGCCUAGAAGAAGAUGAGUAACCUAGUCCUUACUUCCCGCAGAAAAGACGAGGAUGACCAGAAUAGAAUAACUUGAGAAGAGAACAAGAGUCUUAAGUUCCCUUCCACAAACAAUUCCCUUAUAUAUAACUAAAGCAAUUCUAGACUCAACUUCGACCAGUUUGGCUUAGUAAUCCUACAGUCAGUCAGGGUCUGAUACCAACGCUGUCGGGACCCCGAUCCUAAGCCAUAGGAAUCCAGCCUGUAACACAACGCAUCACUUUGCGGUCUCACGCACGGUUAACCCCACGGCUGCAGCCUUACCUUAGCUGGGACCGUUUGCGCCUUUUGCCUCACGUAUGCAAUUGUGUCGCUAGCAUUCCAAUGUCAAAGAACCCGGAUCGACAAGUCUAGUCAUAAACCAAAGUGGCAGUACCGCACAAGGACAGGCAUACAUGACCCAACAAAGCAGGUGUCGGUCACCAGCUAAUGUAGACGAGUAGUAGCAAGCUACAAGGACUCCAUUACAUCGCGUGACAUUUCCCAAAGGGGACAGACACAUGCCGGUCAACCAAUGUGUCCGGAGCAGUAGCGAGCUACCAUGGCUCGUUGGAUCACAAAGGGGCAUUUCCCUGUAAGGAGUGCUACUAAACUUCACGGCUAGGUAAUCGAACCCCAUACAUAUCAAGUACGACACACGUACGCAUGGCAUAGCGAUAUGUAUACAUACAUCGAUGGCAUCACAACAUAACCAUAAACAUACAAGCUUUAUUUAAGAGGCUCGGAAGAGCCACACACAUAAUAUUACACAGUAAGGGUCUCACGACCCAUAAUAGCAAUCAUUCAGUUACAAGCCAGCGGAAGUGUUUAUAACUGUCUGAGUACAGACAGGUGAAACUAGAGGGCACAUGGCCUGACUAUACUACACACCCAACCUAGGGCCAGAUCGUAACUGGGACACCAGAUACUCGUCGUCGUCGAUGUCUAUGAAGAACCCUCCAUUAGGGUCAUUAGAAACCUCUGCAACAUUUAUUAAGCAAACAUGAGUACGGAGGUACUCGGUAAGACUUUAGGAUAACUUUCUACUCAUGCAAUGUAUCAAUAAGGUAUUGUGGGGUUUCAUGCGGAAAGCCAGCAUUUGACUCGUGGCUAGACAACUUGCAUUUUAAAAUAAUUUUGACAACUUGAUUCCUCACACACGAGUCCACUAACACUACAACAAUACUCCAUCGUGGAAUCAUUCCGUGUCCAUACGGAAAUGCCGGCCACGACAGUCACGCUUAUCUUGACAAUUUUAUGAGUAGCCAUUGAAGUUAUCUAUGAACAACAUAUGUCUCCAAGUAGUCCAUAUCCGCGGAUGCGGCUAUUCGAAUAGAUCAUAACCCUGCAGGGGUGUACUUCGUCACACACGCUCUCGCCACUUAUGGCCAUGUGCACGUCAUGCACCUUGGCAACCUUCAAGCGGAAGCCCAGCGAGGGAGUCGGCCAGGACCGUUAACCACACUAAUACCUAGUUCAGGUUUAUCGCCUAUCUGAGAGUAACCCAUACGGAAGUCCGGCCGAGGUUUCCACCACAGCCUCAAACGAUGUGCGCAGGGUUCCCAAGCCCACCAUCCGGGUGCCACUUGGUACACCGUGCCACUGCCUACCGCAUCACAGCCCACCUCUCAGGUCAGCGCUAUGCACGGCCUCCAGCAUGACUAUAAACACCAGCAACUAAUUGCAACUCCUGGACCGAGUACUAAGCGAUUAAUAAGUCGAGAGGGUCAAUUAAGUAUCCCAACGUGUGGUAGUAUCUAGUCUUGGAUUACAUACACGGAACUCAGUUCCUAAGGACGGUUCCAAUGAAACAACCCGCCAUGUACUCCUACACAGCCUUUCACCGGUACCUUUACCAAAUCAGGUUCAACACACAACCUUUGCUUACCGAACACAUUCUCACAAUUUUGUUCAUCUCCCAGAUAACAUACCAUACACAACUCGAAGCAUAGCAUGCAUAGCAGGAUAAGGCACAUCAUGGCUCAAGGAACUACCAGGUAAGCUAGGUUGCAAGGUUUUGCUAUUUACUGUGACAAGGAUAGGUCAUGCAAAGGAAGUGGGUUCAACUAACGUGGCAAAAGCAUUUGAAGCAUUUGAUCCUAAUGCAAUAAGUAAGUGCAGGAGCAAGAACAUGGGAUUUAUCGGGAUGAUCAAAAUGGUUGCUUGCCUUGUUGCUCAGAGGAGGGACAAUAUCCGUCAGACGGAUAUUCGGUGGACCCCGGGGGAGCGGAGCCUACCCAAAGGAAUGACAACAAUCAAUAACAAACAUAUGCAAUCAAGAUGAUGCAUGAGCAUGGCAUGAGGAUGCAAGGUGGUAUUUUAUUAUAGCUAACAUUUAGUAGGUUUGAAGUUGAUUUGAAUCAAAUUCAAAUAUCACUUCAAACGAGGUAUUCUCGAAUACCAUUCUAAUUGAUUCGACCUGAUGCUCAGAUCAACUUGCUUUUAACAUGCAUGGUAUGACAUGUUAGGUUGCUGGUUUGUAAUUUGGACAGUGUUUGAUCAUAUCAUGUGAAGUGAAAUUUAAAUAUUUUCCAAAUUCCAUCUCCAAAGUAUUUAUAAGAAUUAACUUAUUCAUUAAUCUACAUGUUUGGGUUGAGUAACAUUUUCAAACAUGUUUGAAAAUGACAUAUUCAGAUUCCUUGGAUUUUUUCUGAUACUUUUUCAUACAUAAAUUAUUUUCAUUGGAGUUACACAUUAAUUUCUAUGAUUUUUAGAAGUUUUGGCAUUUUUCUGGAAUUCUUUUAAAUCACAAAACUCUUUAUUGCAUCAGCAUGACAUCAGUAGGUCCAACUGGCCGUUGAAAGUCAAACCUGACCAGUGGGACCCACUGGUUAGUGACACUGGCCAGUUUUAGAUUAGAAUUAAUCUUAAUUAGCUAAUUAACCUCACUGGACCCACAUGUUAGUGACUUAUUAGAUUAUUUGGUUUAUUUUUAUUAUUCCAUAUUAUACAGAGGCUGGCCCCACACGUCAGUGUCUCACGCCAGCUGAGAUCCAGUGGCGGCGAGGUCGUCCUCGCCGGCGGGGAGCCUCCGGCGACCACCAGUACGGUGGAGGGCAUCGGAAACUCGCCUCCGACGACCAAACUCACGGCAGAGACCACGGGGAGAACGGCCACUCGACGGCGCGCACGAUGGGACAAACCCCAGGGGCUGGGGUGGCCGGAAUCGACGUCGGCGACGAGCUUGGCGGCGACCAAGUUCGGCCAUCGUCGAAGCCAUCGAUCACAGGGUCAAAACGCGCGGGGCUGGGCUCCUAAAGCAUCUACGUGAUGUCCUGAGGCUGCUGGUGGCCUCAGAAGGACCAACCCUUCACCGGAGGGCUACCGGCGACGAGCUGCAGCGGCAGUCCUU
RNAcentral lists this long non-coding RNA (10698 nucleotides) under Hordeum vulgare. RNAcentral's name for it is "long non-coding RNA (HVUL_LNC004745)". The record is from RNAcentral. Lineage: Eukaryota; Viridiplantae; Streptophyta; Magnoliopsida; Poales; Poaceae.